GGUGUGGCUCAGUUGGUAGAGCGGGUGCUUUGGGAGCAUCAGGCCGCAGGUUCAAAUCCUGUCACU
Molecule: transfer RNA, 66 nt
Filed under: bovine gut metagenome
Rfam family: tRNA
About the family: Transfer RNA (tRNA) molecules are approximately 80 nucleotides in length.
Source: RNAcentral